CUCCUGGGAGCUUAACUUCUUAUCCAUCCCAUCUCUUGGACAGAUGAUGCCAGUUAAUUACUUUGAAU
This 68-nucleotide non-coding RNA is filed under the name Pan troglodytes (chimpanzee). The record is from RNAcentral. Lineage: Eukaryota; Metazoa; Chordata; Mammalia; Primates; Hominidae.